Molecule: non-coding RNA, 23 nt
Filed under: Rattus norvegicus (Norway rat)
Lineage: Eukaryota; Metazoa; Chordata; Mammalia; Rodentia; Muridae
Source: RNAcentral
AGUAUAGCAUACGUGUUUGCCUG